This 23-nucleotide non-coding RNA is filed under the name Arabidopsis thaliana (thale cress). The record is from RNAcentral. Lineage: Eukaryota; Viridiplantae; Streptophyta; Magnoliopsida; Brassicales; Brassicaceae.
GGACAAGGCGCAGGCUGCUUUCU